UCCCGAGCGUUNUCCGGAUUUAUUGGGCGUAAAGGGAGCGCAGGCGNUCAGGAAAGUCUGGAGUAAAAGGCUAUGGNUCAACCAUAGUGUGCUCUGGAAACUNUCUGACUUGAGUGCAGAAGGGGAGAGUGGAAUUCCAUGUGUAGCGGUGAAAUGCGUAGAUAUAUGGAGGAACACCAGUGGCGAAAGCGGCUCUCUGGUCUGUCACUGACGCUGAGGCUCGAAAGCGUGGGUAGCGAACAGGAUUAGAUACCCUGGUAGUCCACGCCGUAAACGAUGAGUGCUAGGUGUUAGGCCCUUUCCGGGGCUUAGUGCCGGAGCUAACGCAAUAAGCACUCCGCCUGGGGAGUACGACCGCAAGGUUGAAACUCAAAGGAAUUGACGGGGGCCCGCACAAGCGGUGGAGCAUGUGGUUUAAUUCGAAGCAACGCGAAGAACCUUACCAGGUCUUGACAUCCCGAUGCUAUUCUUAGAGAUAGGAAGUUACUUCGGUACAUCGGAGACAGGUGGUGCAUGGUUGUCGUCAGCUCGUGUCGUGAGAUGUUGGGUUAAGUCCCGCAACGAGCGCAACCCUUAUUGUUAGUUGCCAUCAUUAAGUUGGGCACUCUAGCGAGACUGCCGGUAAUAAACCGGAGGAAGGUGGGGAUGACGUCAAAUCAUCAUGCCCCUUAUGACCUGGGCUACACACGUGCUACAAUGGUCGGUACAACGAGUUGCGAGCCGGUGACGGCAAGCUAAUCUCUGAAAGCCGAUCUCAGUUCGGAUUGGAGGCUGCAACUCGCCUCCAUGAAGUCGGAAUCGCUAGUAAUCGCGGAUCAGCACGCCGCGGUGAAUACGUUCCCGGGCCUUGUACACACCGC
This 860-nucleotide ribosomal RNA is filed under the name uncultured bacterium. RNAcentral describes it as "bacterial SSU rRNA". It matches the Rfam family "Bacterial small subunit ribosomal RNA", at positions 532 to 1393 of the family's 1533-position model. The record is from RNAcentral.